CCCCUAGAUGUUCUGGGCCGCACGCGCGCUACACUGAACAGUUCAACAAGUCUUAACCUUGGCCGAUAGGUCUGGGUAAUCUUUGAACGCUGUUCGUGAUUGGGAUAGACCUUUGCAAUUAUGGGUCUUCAACGAGGAAUUCCUAGUAAACGCAAGACAUCAGCUUGCAUUGAUUACGUCCCUGCCCUUUGUACACACCGCCCGUCGCACCUACCGAUUGAAUGGUCCGGUGAAAUCUCGGGACGGCGGCUUGGUCGCUUGCGUCCGACUGCUGAAACUUGAUUAAACCAUAUCAUUUAGAGGAAGGUGAANUCGUANCA
RNAcentral lists this ribosomal RNA (320 nucleotides) under uncultured eukaryote. RNAcentral's name for it is "partial 18S ribosomal RNA". It matches the Rfam family "Eukaryotic small subunit ribosomal RNA", at positions 1470 to 1796 of the family's 1831-position model. The record is from RNAcentral.